CCUACGGGAGGCAGCAGUGGGGAAUAUUGCACAAUGGGCGCAAGCCUGAUGCAGCGACGCCGCGUGAGGGAUGACGGCCUUCGGGUUGUAAACCUCUUUCAGUAGGGAAGAAGCGAAAGUGACGGUACCUGCAGAAGAAGCGCCGGCUAACUACGUGCCAGCAGCCGCGGUAAUACGUAGGGCGCAAGCGUUAUCCGGAAUUAUUGGGCGUAAAGAGCUCGUAGGCGGUUUGUCGCGUCUGCCGUGAAAGUCCGGGGCUCAACUCCGGAUCUGCGGUGGGUACGGGCAGACUAGAGUGAUGUAGGGGAGACUGGAAUUCCUGGUGUAGCGGUGAAAUGCGCAGAUAUCAGGAGGAACACCGAUGGCGAAGGCAGGUCUCUGGGCAUUAACUGACGCUGAGGAGCGAAAGCAUGGGGAGCGAACAGGAUUAGAUACCCUGGUAGUCCAUGCCGUAAACGUUGGGCACUAGGUGUGGGGGACAUUCCACGUUUUCCGCGCCGUAGCUAACGCAUUAAGUGCCCCGCCUGGGGAGUACGGCCGCAAGGCUAAACUCAAAGGAAUUGACGGCNGAGAGNGCGAGACGACGACGAGGGAGAGG
RNAcentral lists this ribosomal RNA (598 nucleotides) under uncultured bacterium. RNAcentral describes it as "bacterial SSU rRNA". It matches the Rfam family "Bacterial small subunit ribosomal RNA", at positions 338 to 947 of the family's 1533-position model. The record is from RNAcentral.